RNAcentral lists this unclassified non-coding RNA (1596 nucleotides) under Ixodes scapularis (black-legged tick). RNAcentral's name for it is "uncharacterized LOC115324566, transcript variant X1". Lineage: Eukaryota; Metazoa; Arthropoda; Arachnida; Ixodida; Ixodidae. The record is from RNAcentral.
GAUUUGUUUAAAUUUAUGAGUCACCAAACUAAUGUACGAAUAAAACAAACGCUACCAAUUUAUUUAUUUAUUGAUGUUUAACCCCGACGUCAUGUACUUUUCAACUUUUCUAGGUGCCGCUAGUGUCACAUAUCCGUUAAAAUCCAUAGCCAACGAAAUCCAUCGAUAUUUGUGCAUUGUCGGCUCUAGGAGCGCGUGGUUUGGACUCUGGUGUUACCACGACCAAGUUUUACGUUUUACUGUCGGUGAAAGCGACGGUACCGUGAAACCGCCGCCAUUUCAGCAGCUCAAGGGAUGUAUGCAAUUGUGGAAUUUAGGCUAACCCAAGAGGUGGAGAUCGUGCCUUGCACGUGGGUCACGGGAAACAACUGUUUAUGGCCGAAGGUGUCCACCGAUAAGGCUGUCAAGCUAGUGCGAAAGGGGGGGCCACCAGGACCAGGGUUUUCUGAGUUCGAGGUGACUGUGAAAGGACUAUUCAAUUCCUACGAAGAAGGGCGAUCUAAGUUGGAGCGGUCGCGGUUCACAUCUGAUCUCUCGGACGAGGAGAUACGCCCAAAGCGUAGGAGAUUUCGCCCCACACGCUGGAGCGAGUCCGACUCAAGCUCGGAUGAAUUCCCGGAAGCCCCGAUGCCGCUCUGCGCACGGCAGAACUCGCCCAGUAGCCAGAGACUGGAAUCACAGAGUGCGAGCCCGGCAAGAUCAAUACACAGUGAAAUGUCGCAAGCUGCACUAAUGCGAGGUGCUAGUGGUUCGUCCCAGUCGUCUAGCACUUCGAUAAACACGCUGGCUCCCAGUCCACAAGAUAAAGGUGCCUGUGGUUCGUUCCAGACACCUAAAACGUCAACAAGGACACCGGCUCCCAGUUCACGAAAUAAAGCGCCUGCAGUUGUCUUUAUCUUCGUAGAUGCCAGUGGUUUUUCAACCGCAUCUCAAACAUUGACAAGGAUGUCGGCUCCCAGUCGAUUAGAUCAAGCACUGCAGGCUAUGCAACACAUGACGCCUAGCACCAGUGCUUCGACCUGCGCUGAUCUGCGGGCCACUGCUAGGAUCUUGAGUGCUGCUGAGUUUCAGCGACGGGUGCUGAAUGGGAUGAGCGUCAUGAGGAGCCAGCAGACGGAGAUAAUGGACAUGAUUUCGACAUUGCUACGAGCGCGUGAGAGUUUCGUUGUAGAGCCCAGCCAGCCGAUCCUCGUUGAUCCCCUCGACACUCCUGAAGCAAUUGAGGUGUUUGAUGGCGCUCUUGCAGAUGCCACGAGUGAGGCUUUGGUAAGCAAUUGCUGUUAUCAAUGCCUGCCCAUACUCUAGUUUUUGUCACUUACUGAGGCAAGUAUUGGUGUUUGCAUUCUCUAGGCUUUGCUGUUAUGUCUUAUCCCUAGUGUGCAGCUAAGGUUAAGACAUGCAGAUAACAAAUAAGCUAGGAGCAAGCUGUGAUUUUAAAUCGAGAUGCAUCGAAGGGGUGAGACUGCCUGUUCUCUGGUUGUGGAGCUGACCUCCCUUGGGGACCUGUCUAUCAAAACAACUGUAAGGUCUAUGCUUGCACACCUGAUUAGUGACGAAGCUGCAGCCAAGUUCAGCAUGGAUGGGCGCAAAGGGAAG